GAUGAAGAACGUAGCGAAAUGCGAUACGUAAUGUGAAUUGCAGAAUUCAGUGAAUCAUCGAGUCUUUGAACGCACAUUGCGCCCCCUGGUAUUCCGGGGGGCAUGCCUGUCCGAGCGUCAUUGCUGCCCUCAAGCACGGCUUGUGUGUUGGGCCUCCGUCCUCCUCCCGGGGGACGGGCCCGAAAGGCAGCGGCGGCACCGCGUCCGGUCCUCGAGCGUAUGGGGCUUCGUCACCCGCUCUUGUAGGCCCGGCCGGCGCUUGCCGACACAUCAAUCUUUUUUCCAGGUUGACCUCGGAUCAGGUAGGGAUACCCGCUGAACUUAAGCAUAUCAAUAAGCAGAGGA
RNAcentral lists this unclassified non-coding RNA (345 nucleotides) under soil metagenome. RNAcentral describes it as "partial contains 5.8S ribosomal RNA, internal transcribed spacer 2, and large subunit ribosomal RNA". The stretch from base 1 to 120 matches the Rfam family "5.8S ribosomal RNA", at positions 35 to 154 of the family's 154-position model. The record is from RNAcentral.